GAUGAACGCUGGCGGCGUGCCUAAUACAUGCAAGUCGAGCGAACAGACGAGGAGCUUGCUCCUCUGACGUUAGCGGCGGACGGGUGAGUAACACGUGGAUAACCUACCUAUAAGACUGGGAUAACUUCGGGAAACCGGAGCUAAUACCGGAUAAUAUAUUGAACCGCAUGGUUCAAUAGUUAAAGACGGUUUUGCUGUCACUUAUAGAUGGAUCCGCGCCGCAUUAGCUAGUUGGUAAGGUAACGGCUUACCAAGGCAACGAUGCGUAGCCGACCUGAGAGGGUGAGCGGCCACACUGGAACUGAGACACGGUCCAGACUCCUACGGGAGGCAGCAGUAGGGAAUCUUCCGCAAUGGGCGAAAGCCUGACGGAGCAACGCCGCGUGAGUGAUGAAGGUCUUCGGAUCGUAAAACUCUGUUAUUAGGGAAGAACAAAUGUGUAAGUAACUAUGCACGUCUUGACGGUACCUAAUCAGAAAGCCACGGCUAACUACGUG
RNAcentral lists this ribosomal RNA (497 nucleotides) under uncultured bacterium. RNAcentral describes it as "partial 16S ribosomal RNA". It matches the Rfam family "Bacterial small subunit ribosomal RNA", at positions 28 to 507 of the family's 1533-position model. The record is from RNAcentral.